Molecule: ribosomal RNA, 614 nt
Filed under: Meyerozyma guilliermondii
Lineage: Eukaryota; Fungi; Ascomycota; Pichiomycetes; Serinales; Debaryomycetaceae
Description: eukaryotic LSU rRNA
Rfam family: Eukaryotic large subunit ribosomal RNA
Source: RNAcentral
UGCAUAUCAAUAAGCGGAGGAAAAGAAACCAACAGGGAUUGCCUUAGUAGCGGCGAGUGAAGCGGCAAAAGCUCAAAUUUGAAAUCUGGCGCCUUCGGUGUCCGAGUUGUAAUUUGAAGAUUGUAACCUUGGGGUUGGCUCUUGUCUAUGUUUCUUGGAACAGGACGUCACAGAGGGUGAGAAUCCCGUGCGAUGAGAUGCCCAAUUCUAUGUAAGGUGCUUUCGAAGAGUCGAGUUGUUUGGGAAUGCAGCUCUAAGUGGGUGGUAAAUUCCAUCUAAAGCUAAAUAUUGGCGAGAGACCGAUAGCGAACAAGUACAGUGAUGGAAAGAUGAAAAGAACUUUGAAAAGAGAGUGAAAAAGUACGUGAAAUUGUCGAAAGGGAAGGGUUUGAGAUCAGACUCGAUAUUUUGUGAGCCUUGCCUUCGUGGCGGGGUGACCCGCAGCUUAUCGGGCCAGCAUCGGUUUGGGCGGUAGGAUAAUGGCGUAGGAAUGUGACUUUACUUCGGUGAAGUGUUAUAGCCUGCGUUGAUGCUGCCUGCCUAGACCGAGGACUGCGAUUUUAUCAAGGAUGCUGGCAUAAUGAUCCCAAACCGCCCGUCUUGAAACACGGACC